This 1018-nucleotide ribosomal RNA is filed under the name Sphingobacterium sp. Its description in RNAcentral is "bacterial SSU rRNA". It matches the Rfam family "Bacterial small subunit ribosomal RNA", at positions 60 to 1080 of the family's 1533-position model. Lineage: Bacteria; Pseudomonadati; Bacteroidota; Sphingobacteriia; Sphingobacteriales; Sphingobacteriaceae. The record is from RNAcentral.
AGUCGAACGGGAUCGGGGGCUUCGGUCCCCGUGAGAGUGGCGCACGGGUGCGUAACGCGUGAGCAACCUGCCCGUCCCAGGGGGAUAGCCCGGAGAAAUCCGGAUUAAUACCGCAUGAGAAUGCAGGUCCGCAUGGGCCUUCAUUUAAAUAUUCAUAGGGGACGGAUGGGCUCGCGUGACAUUAGCUGGUUGGCGGGGUAACGGCCCACCAAGGCGACGAUGUCUAGGGGCUCUGAGAGGAGAAACCCCCACACUGGUACUGAGACACGGACCAGACUCCUACGGGAGGCAGCAGUAAGGAAUAUUGGUCAAUGGGGGGAACCCUGAACCAGCCAUGCCGCGUGCAGGAAGACGGCCCUACGGGUUGUAAACUGCUUUUGCACGGGAAUAACCCCCGGUAUGUAUACCGGGCUGAAUGUACCGUGAGAAUAAGGAUCGGCUAACUCCGUGCCAGCAGCCGCGGUAAUACGGAGGAUCCGAGCGUUAUCCGGAAUUAUUGGGUUUAAAGGGUGCGUAGGCGGCGCGCUAAGUCAGGGGUGAAAGACGGUGGCUCAACCAUCGCAGUGCCUUUGAUACUGGCGCGCUUGAAUGUACCUGAGGUAGGCGGAAUGUGGCAAGUAGCGGUGAAAUGCAUAGAUAUGCCACAGAACACCGAUUGCGAAGGCAGCUUACCAAAGUACGAUUGACGCUGAGGCACGAAAGCGUGGGGAUCGAACAGGAUUAGAUACCCUGGUAGUCCACGCCCUAAACGAUGAACACUCGAUGUCGGCGAUAGACAGUCGGCGUCCAAGCGAAAGCGUUAAGUGUUCCACCUGGGGAGUACGCCCGCAAGGGUGAAACUCAAAGGAAUUGACGGGGGCCCGCACAAGCGGAGGAGCAUGUGGUUUAAUUCGAUGAUACGCGAGGAACCUUACCCGGGCUUGAAAGUUACUGAAUUGUCCAGAGAUGGACAAGUCCUUCGGGACAGGAAACUAGGUGCUGCAUGGCUGUCGUCAGCUCGUGCCGUGAGGUGUUGGGU